CACCCCGAAAAUGGUGCAGGAAUCCUGAAAGAACAGGAUUUACCCAAAAAGAAACGGAUUUACCCCAAAAUUGAUGGGAUUUACCCCAAAAUGGUGCAGUAAACCAAAAAGAAGAGGAUUUACCCAAAAAGAAAGGGAUUUACCCCAAAAACGACAGGACUCAGCCCAAAAUCAGUGGGAUUUAUCCCAAAAAUGGUGCAGGAACCUGAAAACGGCGCAGGAGCACCAAAACCAGCACAAUUUACACCAAAAACAGUAAAAGGAACCCAAAAAUGGGUGACCUGGCUCACCUGGGGUUCGCCUGGCUCACAGGUGUGUUCAGGUAUGUUCACCUGUAUCUCACCUGGCUCACAGGGAUGUUCAGCCGUGCCACAAUGUCACGCCUGGCUAUGUCACACCUGUCACACCUGUCUCUGUCACACCUGUGUCACACCUGGCUCACAGGUGUGUUCAGGUGUGAGGUUCACCUGGGGUUCACCUGGCUGUAUCUCACCUGGCUCACAGGGAUGUUCAGCCGUGCCACAAUGUCACACCUGGCUAUGUCACACCUGUGUCACACCUGGCUAUGUCACACCUGGGGUUCACCUGGCUCACAGGGAUGUUCAGGAUGUCACACCUGGGGCACACCUGGCUGUGUCUCCCCUAUCUGUGUCUCCCCUAUCUGUGUCUCACCUGGGGUUCACCUGGCUCACAGGGAUGUUCAGGUAUGUUCAGGUGUGUUCAGGUGUGACUCACCUGGGGCACACCUGGCUCACAGGGAUGUUCAGCCGUGCCGCGAUGUCCUCCACGGUCUCAUUGCCCUCGGAGAUGAUCCCCACGCCCUUGGCGAUGGCCUUGGCCGUGAUNAGGAACGGGGUGAUCUCGGGGAUGUUGCUGGUCAGCGUGUACGCGAUCGAUUUCUUCAGAUUGUCGAAAAUCAGGCGCCCUGAGGCGAAAAACGGCAAAAAACCAUCAAAAACCAUCAAAAACAGCAAAAAAUGGCAAAAACCGUCACCAGCGGCCCCAUAAACGCACGGAUUCACCCCAAAAUGGCCCAAACCGGACCUUCUGGUGACCAUGGAGGUGAAGUUGUCAUCGAGCAGGAUCACCUGUCCCACACCUGUCCCAGGUAUCUCACCUGUCCCUUACCUAUCUCAGGUGUGUCACUCACCUGCCCAGGUGUGUCUCAGGUGUGCCCAGGUGUGUUUCUCACCUGUCUCACCUGUCCCAGGUAUCUCACCUGUCCCAUACCUGCCCCAUACCUAUCUCAGGUGUGUUUCUCACCUUUCCAGGUGUGUCUCACCUGUCCCACACCUGUCCCGCACCUGUCCCACGUUAACCCACACCUGCCCAGGUGUGUCUCAGGUGUGUUUCUCACCUUCCCAGGUGUGUCUUACCUGUCCCACACCUGUCCCACACCUGUCCUACAUUAACCCACACUAACCCACACCUGCCCAGGUGUAUCUCAGGUGUGUUUCUCUCCUGUCUUACCUGUCCCAGGUAUCUCAGCUGUCCCAUACCUGUCCCAUACCUAUCUCAGGUGUAUCUCAGGUGUGUCUCACCUGUCUCAGGUGUGUCUCAGGUGUGUCUCAGGUGUGUCUCACCUAUCCCACACCUGUCCCACGUUAACCCACACCUGCCCAGGUGUACCUCAGGUGUGUCUCAAGUGUGUCUCUCACCUUCCCAGGUGUGUCUCACCUGUCCCACACCUGUCCUACAUUAACCCACACUAACCCACACCUGCCCAGGUGUAUCUCAGGUGUGUCUCUCACCUGCCCAGGUGUGUCUGACCUGUCCCACACCUGUCCUACGUUAACCCACGUUAACCCACACCUGCCCAGGUGUGCCCAGGUGUGCCCAGGUGUGUUUCUCACCUGUCUCACCUGUCCCACGUAUCUCAGCUGUCCCAUACCUGCCCCAUACCUAUCUCAGGUGUGUUUCUCACCUGCCCAGGUGUGUCUGACCUGUCCCACACCUGUCCUACGUUAACCCACGUUAACCCACACGUGCCCAGGUGUGCCCAGGUGUG
RNAcentral lists this long non-coding RNA (2008 nucleotides) under Zonotrichia albicollis (white-throated sparrow). Its description in RNAcentral is "lncRNA (ENSZALG00000008188.1)". The record is from RNAcentral. Lineage: Eukaryota; Metazoa; Chordata; Aves; Passeriformes; Passerellidae.